RNAcentral lists this ribosomal RNA (417 nucleotides) under bacterium enrichment culture clone ALO1_GLFRUDD03GLYDS. RNAcentral describes it as "bacterial SSU rRNA". It matches the Rfam family "Bacterial small subunit ribosomal RNA", at positions 9 to 429 of the family's 1533-position model. The record is from RNAcentral.
GAGUUUGAUCUUGGCUCAGAUUGAACGCUGGCGGCAUGCCUUACACAUGCAAGUCGAACGGCAGCACGGGAGCUUGCUCCUGGUGGCGAGUGGCGAACGGGUGAGUAAUGCAUCGGAACGUAUCCUGGAGUGGGGGAUAACGUAGCGAAAGUUACGCUAAUACCGCAUAUUCUGUGAGCAGGAAAGCGGGGGACCUUCGGGCCUCGCGCUCUUGGAGCGGCCGAUGUCGGAUUAGCUAGUUGGUGAGGUAAAGGCUCACCAAGGCGACGAUCCGUAGCAGGUCUGAGAGGAUGAUCUGCCACACUGGAACUGAGACACGGUCCAGACUCCUACGGGAGGCAGCAGUGGGGAAUUUUGGACAAUGGGGGCAACCCUGAUCCAGCCAUGCCGCGUGAGUGAAGAAGGCCUCGGUGUAAG